AAGUUCUUUAAUGAUCACAGCUUUUUGUCCUUCAGCUGCUCCUGUAACUUUGAUCUUGCACUUUGAUCCAUGUUGAUUGAAUGUGGUUUUGUCUCCUUAGUAUUGGUGCUUGUGGUGUUGUGUCUGCAUGUUUCUUUGUCAGAGGCUCAUUUGUGUCUGCAUUGGUUCCUUUCAGCUUCUUUCUUUGUCUUGGAAGCUCCUUUUUUGCUUCCUGACAUCUUUGAGCUGCUUGACUUUGUCACACAGCUUGUGUUUAAGGGCCUUCGUGAUUGAGCAGCUCUGCAGUAAUCAGGCCUGAGUGUGGCAGUGAGACUGAAGUCAGCUUUCCAACAAUCUGCUUCAUCACAGUUCAUUGAUCAUUGAAGACGAGGGGAAAUGAGUUUUUCCCACAGGGCAGAAGUUGUUGCUGUUGCAGCCCAGGUGGUUUCUGAGUGCAGCGGGGUCACCGCGCAGCAACAAACCACAGCAGAGCAGGAAGAAGGGGGCGGAGGAAGAUGUGGUUGCGUGGUCGGAGAGCAGAGAGAGCUGCUUUUUCCUGGAGGAAGAGAAGUGAAUUUAGAGGAGCAACAAACUAAUGCAUCGAUCCAACAUCACUACCAACUAUUGAUACUUGGAUCGAUCCGCGCACCCUGAUCUCCUGGAUCUGACCUGAGAACAGCGUUAAGCUCUGUCUGUGGGCUCAGCUAAAGCUGAUCAUCAGGAGGAGGAGAGUCUGACGGAGCAGCAGAGGAACAUUUUCAGCCUCUACAGAGGAAACAAUGAGUUCAACACAACAGGUGAGAAAAAUCUCAGUGUUACAUGUUGGAAUAUUCAUAGUAUAUGCCACCUAUAUAUCUUAUGUACUUUUACUUCCCUGAGAAA
Molecule: long non-coding RNA, 861 nt
Organism: Archocentrus centrarchus (flier cichlid)
Lineage: Eukaryota; Metazoa; Chordata; Actinopteri; Cichliformes; Cichlidae
Exons: 3
Source: RefSeq, a predicted model, not a curated record